Molecule: ribosomal RNA, 490 nt
Filed under: uncultured bacterium
Lineage: Bacteria
Description: bacterial SSU rRNA
Rfam family: Bacterial small subunit ribosomal RNA
Source: RNAcentral
GACGAACGCUGGCGGCGCGCCUAACACAUGCAAGUCGAACGGAGCUUACAGACGGAAGUUUUCGGAUGGAAGGCUGUAAGCUUAGUGGCGGACGGGUGAGUAACACGUGAGCAACCUGCCUAUCAGAGGGGGAUAACGAUUGGAAACGAUCGCUAAUACCGCAUGACAUAGCGGAAUCGCAUGGUUCUGUUAUCAAAGAUUUUAUCGCUGAUAGAUGGGCUCGCGUCCGAUUAGAUAGUUGGUGGGGUAACGGCCUACCAAGUCGACGAUCGGUAGCCGGACUGAGAGGUUGAACGGCCACAUUGGGACUGAGACACGGCCCAAACUCCUACGGGAGGCAGCAGUGGGGAAUAUUGCACAAUGGGGGAAACCCUGAUGCAGCGACGCCGCGUGAGUGAAGAAGUAUUCGGUAUGUAAAGCUCUAUCAGCAGGGAAGAAGAAAUGACGGUACCUGACUAAGAAGCACCGGCUAAAUACGUGCCAGCAGCCG